GCCGUGGUGGCUCAGUGAUUGAGCAUUGACUUAUGAACCAGGAGAUCAUGGUUUGAUUCCCGGCCACGGCA
Myotis lucifugus (little brown bat) is the source of this 71-nucleotide non-coding RNA. The record is from Rfam. Lineage: Eukaryota; Metazoa; Chordata; Mammalia; Chiroptera; Vespertilionidae.